UGGGGAAUAUUGCACAAUGGGCGAAAGCCUGAUGCAGCAACACCGCGUGAGGGACGACGGCCUUCGGGUUGUAACCUCUUUUAGCAAGGAAGAAGCGAAAGUGACGGUACUUGCAGAAAAAAGCGCCGGCUAACUACGUGCCAGCAGCCGCGGUAAUACGUAGGGCGCAAGCGUUAUCCGGAAUUAUUGGGCGUAAAGAGCUCGUAGGCGGUUUGUCGCUCUGCUGUGAAAACCCGAGGCUCAACCUCGGGCUGCAGUGGGUACGGGCAGACUAGAGUGCGGUAGGGGAGAUUGGAACUCCUGGUGUAGCGGUGGAAUGCGCAGAUAUCAGGAAGAACACCGAUGGCGAAGGCAGAUCUNUGGGCCCGUAACUGACGCUGAGGAGCG
Molecule: ribosomal RNA, 387 nt
Filed under: uncultured bacterium
Lineage: Bacteria
Description: partial 16S ribosomal RNA
Rfam family: Bacterial small subunit ribosomal RNA
Source: RNAcentral